AUGGGGGAGGACCUCGUCACCACCCUGUCCAUGGAGAACGGCGGCGGCGGAGGCCACCACAGCCUCUGCACCCUGCUCUCCAUGGACCCCUCCGGCCACCUCGACGACCGCGCCGUCGGCGUCAUGGUGCAGCCCCGCGUCGGAGGGGGCCGCGCCCACGCCGUGUCCCUGUCCGGCGCCCCGCCGCCCGACAUCAACCAGCCGUGGCAGACGGAGCCCUGCGACAUGCUCGGCGUCGGCCUCGGGCCGCAGGUGUUCGACGCCGAGGCCGUGCUCAGCGCCGCUCCCAAGGCUGCCGCCGCCGGGAGCCGCAAGACCACCAAGCGCGGGGACAGCAUCUGGGGCGCCUGGUUCUUCUUCACCUUCUACUUCAAGCCCCUGCUGUCGGACAAGGCCAAGAGCAAGGUCGUCCGGGACGCCAACGGCGUGUCGGGGUUCGACAAGUCGGACCUCCGGCUCGACAUGUUCCUGGUGCAGCACGACAUGGAGAACAUGUACAUGUGGGUGUUCAAGGAGAGGCCGGACAACGCCCUCGGCAAGAUGCAGCUGAGGAGCUACAUGAAUGGGCACUCGCGCCCCGGCGAGCCGCAUUUCCCUUUCAGCGUCGACAGGGGAUUUGUCCGGUCGCACCGGAUGCAGCGCAAGCACUAUCGGGGCCUCUCCAAUCCGCAGUGCAUCCAUGGGAUCGAGGUGGUGAGUUCGCCGAAUCUCGUGGGCAUCACCGAUGUGGACCGGAGGAGGUGGGCGGAGCUCACAGGGAGGGAGCUCAAUUUCUCCAUCCCGCAGGAGGCCAGUGAUUUUGGGACAUGGAGGACCAUGCCAAGCUCAGAGCUUGAGCUGGAGAGGCCACACACACACACUGCCAUGAAGAGCAAUACUAAUAAUGUUCAGCAGCAGCCCCCCAAGAAGACGCUUAAUGGAUCAGGCUUGAAUCUGUCAUCACCAUCCAAUCAUUCAGGAGAGGACGGCAUGGAUCUAUCCCCUGUCAGCAGCAAGCGAAGGAAGGAGGCAUUUCCACAUGCCAUGGAUGAGGAGUGCUUCUUGCCUCUGAACCCUUGCACCGGGAGGACACAACAAGAUAUCGAGAUGCAGUCAGUAGUGCGGCCUUCGUGGAUGCACGAGUUCACCGGGGUGAUGAGGAAGGCCUCUGGGCCGGCAACUGCUGCCAAGUCCAUUUACGAGGAUGAUCAGGGCUACUUGAUAAUGGUCAGCUUACCAUUUGUUGAUCAGCAGAGGGUAAAGGUUUCAUGGAAGAACAAUCCCACUCAUGGCAUAGUUAAAAUCUUCUGUGUUAGUACAGCCCGGAUGCCAUACAUAAGGAGACAUGAUAGGGUCUUCAAGCUUACUGAUGCUAUGCCCGAGCACUGCCCUCCUGGGGAGUUCAUCCGUGAAAUACCUCUAGCCACCCGUAUCCCCGAAGACGCCAAGCUUGAGGCAUGCUUUGAUGAGGCCGCUGCAGUUCUUGAGAUCAUGGUCCCCAAACGGGGGAACGAGCCGGAAGAACAUGAAGUCAGGGUCUCCAUGCGCCCUCCUCACCUUGGAGUGAACGACCUGCUUAUGACAUAG
This 1566-nucleotide ribosomal RNA is filed under the name Triticum aestivum (bread wheat). Its description in RNAcentral is "partial small subunit ribosomal RNA". Lineage: Eukaryota; Viridiplantae; Streptophyta; Magnoliopsida; Poales; Poaceae. The record is from RNAcentral.